Molecule: long non-coding RNA, 819 nt
Organism: Mercurialis annua (annual mercury)
Lineage: Eukaryota; Viridiplantae; Streptophyta; Magnoliopsida; Malpighiales; Euphorbiaceae
Exons: 4
Source: RefSeq, a predicted model, not a curated record
GGGAAAUAAAUAAUACGGAAUUUAUCGAGAAUCGAAUGAUUAAGCGAUCGAUGGACUAAAUUGGUCGAAAUAAAAGUUAUAAAGUGAAAGUUGAGGAGGUGGCAAAGUGAGGGACUAAAUGAGACCUUUGUCAUAAAUAUAUAUACCCAUUUCAUUUGAUUUAAGAUCAGAAUCAACACAUUUUUGAGUCUCAAAUUCGUUCUCCUUUUUCCUUUGAUGAUCAACAUAUGCAAAGAUUUCAAUCCUCCAUAACUUCCUCGUUUCUCUACGGAAUUGGACGAUUCUUGCGGCCACGGAACGAGGAGAAGGAGAGCUACUGAUCUAGCCCUAUUAUUCAAGUUUAUAAGCUUUCAUGGAAGAUUGUUGAUGGUGAAUUUAAGCCUUGAAGCUUCGGCAUAGGGACAACAUCCAAGACUCGACGAAUCGACUAUCGACAAGGCUCGAGGGGAACGGAUCGAGAUGUCUUCGUGUUUAUUUGAAGAAUUUGGAUAGCAAGUGGGAUAGCAUGAUAUGAUUUGGAAAGUCAAUCUUCCGAAGUUUUAAUUCUCGGAAGUCAUUUGCACAAGAAGUGAAAGAAGGUUUUCAUUCUAGCGGUCCGCAGUAGUCUAGAUGUUUUUGUCUAUGUAUUUGUACAAUGCGUUUUAACUCUGAUGUUUUUGUAAAAUGGGGUCACAUGUAUUUUGAUAUAUAAAAUAUGAUUUGAUUUGCGAAAAAUUUACACAGGUUUUUAGGCUUGCUACGGGUUUCGGAGCUACCACUCCCAUUCCCUAGCGCCGGUCGCGACUCAUAAAUUUGGGUCGUGACAAUUUCCCCAUUUUA